This 429-nucleotide ribosomal RNA is filed under the name uncultured bacterium. RNAcentral describes it as "bacterial SSU rRNA". It matches the Rfam family "Bacterial small subunit ribosomal RNA", at positions 355 to 776 of the family's 1533-position model. The record is from RNAcentral.
UGGGGAAUUUUGGACAAUGGGCGAAAGCCUGAUCCAGCCAUGCCGCGUGAGUGAAGAAGGCCUUCGGGUUGUAAAGCUCUUUCGGCCGGAACGAAAUCAACCGAGCUAAUACCUCGGUUGGAUGACGGUACCGGAAGAAGAAGCACCGGCUAACUACGUGCCAGCAGCCGCGGUAAUACGUAGGGUGCAGGCGUUAAUCGGAAUUACUGGGCGUAAAGCGUGCGCAGGCGGCUUCCUAAGUCAGAUGUGAAAUCCCCGGGCUUAACCUGGGAACUGCGUUUGAAACUGGGAGGCUAGAGUGCGGCAGAGGGGGGUGGAAUUCCACGUGUAGCAGUGAAAUGCGUAGAUAUGUGGAGGAACACCGAUGGCGAAGGCAGCCCCCUGGGCCAGCACUGACGCUCAUGCACGAAAGCGUGGGGAGCAAACAGG